UACGUAGGGGGCAAGCGUUGUCCGGAAUCAUUGGGCGUAAAGAGCGUGUAGGCGGCCCGAUAAGUCCGCUGUGAAAGUCCAGGGCUCAACCCUGGAAUGCCGGUGGAUACUGUCGGGCUCGAAUCCGGAAGAGGUGAGUGGAAUUCCUGGUGUAGCGGUGAAAUGCGCAGAUAUCGGGAGGAACACCAAUGGCGAAGGCAGCUCGCUGGGACGGUACUGACGCUGAGACGCGAAAGCGUGGGGAGCAAACAGG
Molecule: ribosomal RNA, 253 nt
Filed under: uncultured bacterium
Lineage: Bacteria
Description: partial 16S ribosomal RNA
Rfam family: Bacterial small subunit ribosomal RNA
Source: RNAcentral